UACGUAGGGGGCAAGCGUUGUCCGGAAUUAUUGGGCGUAAAGAGCGUGUAGGCGGCCAGAUAAGUCCGCUGUGAAAUCUCGAGGCUCAACUUCGAGCUGUCGGUGGAAACUGUCUGGCUAGAGUCCGGAAGAGGAGAAUGGAAUUCCUGGUGUAGCGGUGAAAUGCGCAGAUAUCAGGAAGAACACCCGUGGCGAAGGCGGUUCUCUGGGACGGUACUGACGCUGAGGCGCGAAAGCGUGGGUAGCAAACAGG
RNAcentral lists this ribosomal RNA (253 nucleotides) under uncultured bacterium. RNAcentral's name for it is "partial 16S ribosomal RNA". It matches the Rfam family "Bacterial small subunit ribosomal RNA", at positions 524 to 776 of the family's 1533-position model. The record is from RNAcentral.